AUUUCCAAUAAUCUAUGGCUUCCAUGAAUUAUUUCGAUUCUAAUAGGACAAAUACGAUCAUUAAAAAAUCUGAAGUGAGGGUGGGUAAAGCUGUGUGUAUGGCUGUUCUUUUUUACUCCCUGUUAGAUAAAGCUCAUCAUUUUAAUAGAUCCAUAGCUUGCACGGAUUAUUUCGUGAACGACCGCUGAAAAAAAUAUGUUUCAUUCUCAAAACCAACAAUUGUCAUGUUGAUUUAUAUGUUUUUUCCCGUGAGCUACCGUCAAAUCCAAAGUUGACAUUUCAUAGCCAAUGAGCCGCCAUGUUAACUUGCUGAAAUCAGUACAUAUACGAAUAAUGCAAUAGAAUAGAAAAUCAAACAUAACAACAACAAUAAUCAAUUUUAAUACAAUAGUAAACGACAUGUCAAUAGUUAACGUAACAGAAAACGUUCAACUCUAGAGUUUUCAUUUGUAUGACGUCAUGUUUUGAAAUGACUUAAAUGCGCCAAAAACAUUAAUAGACUUUCGCGGAAUUUUAUUUUAUUUUUAUUUUGUUGGUUUCUCCGAGCUCUUAUGCAUAACUUCUUUUUAUUAUGCAUCCGAAUAAGAAUAAAAGUGAUUUUGUCUUUUCUGAAUUGCAAUUUUUUAAACAAUUAAAUCGACAAAGGGUUUGCAAAUAGGUUUCAAUACAUGUGGAUUUACGUGGGAAGUAUAUUGUAACAGCCAUUAUUAUGUACACAACGGAGUCUGCGCUAAGUAUAGAUAUAUCGAGAAUUUUAUCACAGUGUUGUUUACAAAGCGAAAGAAGCACGUCAUAUUAGAAUAACUUUUAAUUUUUAAUUUACAAAAAUUUUUAAUUUACAAAAAUCUAACCAAACUUGGCCACAAUCAUCAUUGGGGUAUCUUGUUUAAGAAAUGUGUCCAUUGACCCGGGCAACCAACCAAGAUGGGCACCAUAGCUAAAAAUAGAACAUAAGGGUAAAAUGUAGAUUUUGGCUUUUAACUCUGAAACCAAAGCUUUUAUGAGUAAAUCUGACACGGUUAAAAUUGUUUAUCAAGCUAAGAUUUAUCUGUCCUGAAAUAUUCAGGGGAAUCUGACACCUGGUUGUUGGGUUGCCCCUGGGCUGAAUUAGUAAUUUUAAGGAAAUUUUGCCGUUUUUGGUUAUUAUCUUGAAAAGUAUCAUAGAUAGAGAUAGCCUGUAAAAGCAAUAAUGUUCAGCAAAGUAAGAUCUACAAAUCAGUCAGCAUGACUAAAAUGGUCAAGUGACCCCUAAAGAAGUUAUUGACCUUUAUAGUCAAUUUUCAACAAUUUUUGGUAUACGAUUGCUUUAGAGCAAUCUGUAGACUUAUACCGAUGGCUCAGAGCAUUACCCUCACGUCAAUCUUUUUUUUCUAAACAUUAAGGAACAUCUCAGAUACUUACAUGACUUAUGAUUGUCUUGCUUUAAUUCAGUAAGUUGGGUAAAUUAGUAGGGUUUAUUAAACAUAGUAAAAUGAUGUCCAUCUAUAAUAAAGCAGGUGAAAUUUAUAAUCAGCAGUACUAAGAAAUACCUCGGCCUGGUUAAGGCCAAAACAAAUUUUAAAUAACUUUUUUCAAAUUGGCACAUACUGUUUAAAAUGCAUAUUAGGAUCAAGAAAUAUCAACAAAAACAUGAAAAACAUGAAGAUUUUUAUGUGAUGACGUCACAAUUAGGUAUUAUAUAUACUGUUUUCACAAAAACGAUGAAAAAUACAGAGUUUAUACAGUUUGCUAUCUUUAUACAAUGUAUCUGUUGUGAAAACAUAUCAGCAUGAUCAGCCAAGAAACAACAAAAUAAUCAUAAUAAUUUAACAGAUGCUUUAUUACAACUUUUAUGCUAUUAACAAAAUAUCACCAAAGUUGUUUCUUAGGUUGGCACUUCCUUUUCAAUCUAAAAUAUACUUAAAAAUUUGACGAACAACAAAGAAAAUCAAGAAAUUUUACAAAUUAUGCACAUGAUGCAAAUUAAGUCAUGAUUUGUUGCCUUGGUAACUCGUUCAAUGUCCAAAAUUGUUUUCCUUUUUCUGUAUACCUUGUAUCUUAGAUAUUGUACAGUAAUUUAAAAAUAUGUACAUGAUAACUUUUAAAUUAACAGUAAUUUUUGGAAAGGGCCAAGUUUAUUAAAGAUAGAGAAAAUUGGGCCAUGGCCAGCUGAAGGACACCUCUGGGUGCGGGAAUUUUUCGAUACAGUGAAGACCUGUUGGUGAGCUUCUGCUGUUGUUUUUAUCCAAGGGGUUUUUACUCAUCAGAUGCAUGAUUCAGAUCAAUACAGUGGUGUCUGCAUAAAAAAAGUUGAUGGGAGAAUGAUGUUUAUCAAAGGUUGAUGUAAACAAAGAAAAGAAAAUUCAACAGAUGAGGCUUUUUGACAAGAAGUGUUAUUUUGAAAUGAUUUUUAGCCAGCAAAUCAAGGUUAACAGCAUCUAGAGAAAUUUGCACAGCAACAUGGAGGAGAAAAACCAUCAAUCCUUGCAAAUCUUGCUGGACGGAAUUGAGAUUUUUUAGCACAAGCAACAAUUCAUGGAAAAAACUAUGAAAAAAGGCUCUAGGUGUAAUACCACCAUUGAUUUUCCCCUAUUAGUCUUUGUUAAAUUUGCACUUUUCAAAAAAUUGUGCAGAAUUUAUCUUUGUUUCAAAUAAAGAAAUACUUGGCAUGAGUAAAGUUUUAUCCUGUCCAGUUCUAUAGAAAAAG
Mytilus trossulus (common blue mussel) is the source of this 2686-nucleotide long non-coding RNA. RefSeq lists it as uncharacterized. Lineage: Eukaryota; Metazoa; Mollusca; Bivalvia; Mytilida; Mytilidae. The transcript is spliced from 4 exons. The record is from RefSeq and is a predicted model, not a curated record.